GCCGGGUGCAGUGGUGCAUGCCUGUAGUCCCAGCUACUCAGUAGGUUGAGAUGGGAGGAUCAUUUGAGGCCAGGAAUUCUGGCCUGUACUGCAUUAUGCUGAUUGGGUGUCCACACUAAGUUCAGCAUUAAUAUGGUGACCCCUCAGGACCAGGGAACCACCAGGUUGCCUAAGGAGGGGUGAACUGGCCCAGGUUGAAAAUGGAGCAGGUGAAAACUUUGCUGCUGAGUAAUGAGAUCACAUUUGUGAAUAGCCACUGCACUCCAACCUGGGCAACAUAGUGACACAACAUCUCU
Unclassified non-coding RNA from Aotus nancymaae (Ma's night monkey), 296 nucleotides. It matches the Rfam family "Metazoan signal recognition particle RNA". Rfam says of the family: The signal recognition particle (SRP) is a universally conserved ribonucleoprotein. It is involved in the co-translational targeting of proteins to membranes. NCBI's taxonomy places the organism in Eukaryota, Metazoa, Chordata, Mammalia, Primates, Aotidae. The record is from Ensembl.